GGAUGAACGCUGGCGGUAUGCUUUACACAUGCAAGUCGAACGAAAGCAAUAGCUUUAGUGGCAAACGGGUGAGUAAUACGUAAGAAUCUGCCUUUAGGAGGGAAAUAACAGUUAGAAAUGAUUGCUAAUAUCCCAUAUGCUGAAAAGUGAGAUAUUUUUUUGCCUAAAGAUGAGCUUACGCCUGAUUAGCUAGUUGGUAAGGUAAAGGCUUACCAAGGCAACGAUCAGUAGCUGGUUUGAGAGGAUGAUCAGCCACACUGGAACUGAGACACGGUCCAGACUUCUACGGAAGGCAGCAGUGGGGAAUUUUCCGCAAUGGGCGAAAGCCUGACGGAGCAAUACCGCGUGAAGGAUGAAUGCCUGUGGGUUGUAAACUUCUUUUAUUAGGGAAGAAGAUAUGACGGUACCUAAUGAAUAAGCAUCGGCUAACUCCGUGCCAGCAGCCGCGGUAAUACGGGGGAUGCAAGCGUUAUCCGGAAUUAUUGGGCGUAAAGAGUCUGUAGGUUGUUCAGAAAGUCUGUUGUUAAAGAUUAGAGCUCAACUCUAAAAAAGCAAUAGAAACUACUAAACUAGAGUAUGGUAGAGGCAAAGGGAAUUCCCAGUGUAGCGGUGAAAUGCGUAGAUAUUGGGAAGAACACCAGAAGCGAAGGCGCUUUGCUGGGCCAUUACUGACACUCAGAGACGAAAGCUAGGGGAGCAAAUGGGAUUAGAUACCCCAGUAGUCCUAGCUGUAAACGAUGGAUACUAGAUGUUGUGCGUAUCGAUCCGUGCAGUAUCGUAGCUAACGCGUUAAGUAUCCC
Molecule: ribosomal RNA, 800 nt
Filed under: uncultured cyanobacterium
Lineage: Bacteria; Bacillati; Cyanobacteriota
Description: bacterial SSU rRNA
Rfam family: Bacterial small subunit ribosomal RNA
Source: RNAcentral